AGAUUAAACUGAAGAGUUUGAUCCUGGCUCAGAUUGAACGCUGGCGGCAUGCCUUACACAUGCAAGUCGAACGGCAGCGCGGGGCAACCUGGCGGCGAGU
RNAcentral lists this ribosomal RNA (100 nucleotides) under Rugamonas rivuli. RNAcentral describes it as "partial 16S ribosomal RNA". It matches the Rfam family "Bacterial small subunit ribosomal RNA", at positions 1 to 96 of the family's 1533-position model. The record is from RNAcentral. Lineage: Bacteria; Pseudomonadati; Pseudomonadota; Betaproteobacteria; Burkholderiales; Oxalobacteraceae. RNAcentral also lists the same sequence under 1 other name.